UUUACAAAUCCUGCAAGGUGAAGUGGGUGGAAUUCCCACGCUGUCGCGCAACGGUUAUAGCCCGGUCCCUUGUAUGGU
This 78-nucleotide non-coding RNA is filed under the name Candidatus Yanofskyibacteriota. The record is from RNAcentral.